This is a long non-coding RNA of Odocoileus virginianus texanus, 1897 nucleotides long. RefSeq lists it as uncharacterized. NCBI's taxonomy places the organism in Eukaryota, Metazoa, Chordata, Mammalia, Artiodactyla, Cervidae. The record is from RefSeq and is a predicted model, not a curated record.
CGGGCUCGCGCAAGCGCACAACGCCGCUUCCACGAGGCGCACGCGCAAACCGCUGUUCGCGACUCUUGUGGCCCCGCCCUGUUUGUCCAAGUUCUUCCCCGCCCAGUAUUGGCCAAGUUACCACCUUCCCAACAACGGCACUCCCGAAGAGUCCCUGACUGAGUACCGUUACACCGUCGUGUUCUUUGCGCUCGACAUGCCCAGAGCCUUUCCAAGAUGAGGGAGCAGAGGCCCAGAAAGAAUUCUCCAAUUUUAAGCCUCAGUUGAGGAUCCAGUGCACUGAGAGCCUUCUCUGAGGCCCCAGGCUGUAAAGCAGAUGCCCUUUCUGUGCUGCCAGGAGCCUAGCCUGUGCCUGGCACACUAUCCGUUGCUGGCUUGGGGGCUCCCAGAGAGCACGCUGCUGCUUCAACACCCAGCAUGAUGCCAUCAGAGUGUCACCUUGCAUGCCUUCGGGAUCUGAAAUCUCCCCAAGUGUUGAAUCACAAGCAGUCCACAAAAACUGCAAGAAGGGUUAAUGAGCCACCACUGGAAUGUGACUGUGGUCAUCUUUCCAUAGCAGUUGUGGGUCCCUGGAAAAGUUUUCUGGUGGUAGGCAGAAAUCUGCCUUCCUGACAUUUCCACUCUGUGGUUCUAGCAUGUUGUCUCCCAACAGAUGUCUGAAGCAGAGAUUUGUUCUUUGUUCCCUGAAUAUCACUUUCUGGAGCCCAGUUCCUUCCCUUCCCACCCCACUCCUUCAACUUCUCACUUGUCAAUGUCCCAAGAACAGAACACAGCCAGAACUGGCCAUCCUGGGGCACAGUGGGUAAGUUUGUUGCCUCAUGGAAUCCAGACCCAGUGCAUCCUCUAGGUUGUUUCCCUGCUUUCAGUUCUUCCAUGACUCUCUACUGUCCACAAGAUGUAGACAUUCCUUCCCUCAUAAGGGACUGUGUGAUCUCACCCAGCCUCUUUCUUCAUUCCCCACACCAGUGAUUUCUUCCUGUUCCCUGAUCCUGCUCUGCUUUCUUUCUACUAGGCUUUCUACAUGCUGUUCCCUCUCCCUGGAACAUGUUGUCUCCAUCUCCUGCCUGCAACACACCACCAUCUCCUUCAUCUGGUCAACAUCUCAACCUUAGGAAUAAUUGCAGCCUUUCCUGAUCCCUCCAACUCCCUGACCACCCCUUUGCCAUUGACAUUUGGUUUCCUGUUUUUCAGGUUCAUAUACUGUUAUCCUCAAUGCCCAGCACAGGCCUGGCUGUUGUUAGACUCUCAAAAAAGAGACCUGGAAUUCCUUGGUGAUCUAGUGGUCAGGACUUCAUGCUCUCACUGCUGAGGGCCGACAUUCAAUCCCUGGUCUGAGAACUAACAUCCCACACAAAAAAGUAAUUUUCAUGUGGUUGCUGGCUUCCAAGAUGGUCCCCAAUGACCUCCACUUUCUGCUCUUCAUGCCCUUGUAUAGUUCUCUUCCAAAAGGAAUAGGACUAAUUUGUAUAACUAGUGAGAUACUGCAGAAAUUAUAGUGUAUGACUUUCAAGGCUUAAGUCAUAAAAGACAUUGUGACCUCUCCUGCUUUCCCAUAGAUCACUUGCUCUAAGGGAAGCCAAUUGCCAUGUUGUGAGGAUACUCAAACAGCCCUAGGGAGAGGUCCACAUGGGGAGGAACUGAGGCCUCCUGCCCACCCUCACUUGCCAGGCAUGAGUAACCCAACUUGGGAAUGGAUCUUCCAGCCCCAGUCAUGCCUUCACAUGAUUGCUGCCUGAUUUGACACUUGACUGCACCCUCAGGAGACCCUGAGUCAGAACAACUUAGCUCCUGAAUCCCUGACCCACGGCAUCUGUGAUAUAAAUGUUUGGGGAUAAUUGAUUAUACUGUAAUAGAUAAUUAACCCAUGUCCUUUUUUUGUGAUAAAUAUUUGAAAGUC